This 532-nucleotide ribosomal RNA is filed under the name uncultured bacterium. RNAcentral describes it as "bacterial LSU rRNA". It matches the Rfam family "Bacterial large subunit ribosomal RNA", at positions 631 to 1164 of the family's 2925-position model. The record is from RNAcentral.
CUGUAAAUGGCAGGUUAGGUCUAACGGACUGAGCCAUAGCGAAAGCGAGUGUGAAUAGCGCGUACGUCGUUUGCAGUGGACCCGAAGCUAGGUGAGCUACCCUUGAGCAGGCUGAACCUCGUAGAAAUACGAGGGGAGGGCCGAACCGGUGAAUCGUGCAACGUUCUCGGAUGACUUGAGGGUUGGAGUGAAAAGCUUAUCGAACUUAGUAAUAGCUGGUUCUCUCCGAAACAGCUUUUGGGUUGGCGUCGCGUGUUCCUUCUGGGGGUAGAGCACUGGAAGGUCUUGAGAGGUAGCAAUACCCCAAGAUCUAUCAAACUCCGAAUACCAGAAGUUAAGAGCGCGGCAGUUAGGCGGUGGGGCGAAGCUCCACUCGCCAAAAGGGAAACAGCCUAGAUCGUCGGUUAAGGUCCCUAAAUCUAUGCUCAGUGCACUUAAGGAUGUGUUGUUCCUUUGACAGUGAGGAGGUUGGCUUAGAAGCAGCCACCCUUUAAAGAUAGCGUAACAGCUCACUCACUCAGGGACGAUGCCG